UACGUAGGGUGCAAGCGUUGUCCGGAAUUAUUGGGCGUAAAGAGCUCGUAGGCGGUCUGUCGCGUCGGCUGUGAAAUCCCGAGGCUCAACCUCGGGUCUGCAGCCGAUACGGGCAAACUAGAGUAUUGCAGGGGAGACUGGAAUUCCUGGUGUAGCGGUGAAAUGCGCAGAUAUCAGGAGGAACACCGGUGGCGAAGGCGGUUCUCUGGGCAUUACCUGACGCUGAGGAGCGAAAGUGUGGGGAGCGAACAGG
Molecule: ribosomal RNA, 253 nt
Filed under: uncultured bacterium
Lineage: Bacteria
Description: partial 16S ribosomal RNA
Rfam family: Bacterial small subunit ribosomal RNA
Source: RNAcentral